UUCUUAGUGGCGGACGGGUGAGUAACGCGUGGGUAACCUGCCCUGUACAGGGGGAUAACACUUAGAAAUAGGUGCUAAAACCGCAUAAGCGCACAGUACCGCAUGGUACAGUGUGAAAAACUCCGGUGGUACAGGAUGGACCCGCGUCUGAUUAGCUGGUUGGAGGGGUAACGGCCCACCAAGGCGACGAUCAGUAGCCGGCCUGAGAGGGUGAACGGCCACAUUGGGACUGAGACACGGCCCAAACUCCUACGGAAGGCAGCAG
This 265-nucleotide ribosomal RNA is filed under the name uncultured bacterium. Its description in RNAcentral is "partial 16S ribosomal RNA". It matches the Rfam family "Bacterial small subunit ribosomal RNA", at positions 89 to 354 of the family's 1533-position model. The record is from RNAcentral.